RNAcentral lists this ribosomal RNA (427 nucleotides) under uncultured bacterium. Its description in RNAcentral is "partial 16S ribosomal RNA". It matches the Rfam family "Bacterial small subunit ribosomal RNA", at positions 355 to 774 of the family's 1533-position model. The record is from RNAcentral.
UGGGGAAUAAUGCACAAUGGGCGCAAGCCUGAUGCAGCCAUGCCGCGUGUGUGAAGAAGGCCUUCGGGUUGUAAAGCACUUUCAGCGAGGAGGAAGGGUAGUGUGUUAAUAGCACAUUGCAUUGACGUUACUCGCAGAAGAAGCACCGGCUAACUCCGUGACAGCAGCCGCGGUAAUACGGAGGGUGCAAGCGUUAAUCGGAAUUACUGGGCGUAAAGCGCACGCAGGCGGUUUGUUAAGUCAGAUGUGAAAUCCCCGCGCUUAACGUGGGAACUGCAUUUGAAACUGGCAAGCUAGAGUCUUGUAGAGGGGGGUAGAAUUCCAGGUGUAGCGGUGAAAUGCGUAGAGAUCUGGAGGAAUACCGGUGGCGAAGGCGGCCCCCUGGACAAAGACUGACGCUCAGGUGCGAAAGCGUGGGGAGCAAACA